Molecule: long non-coding RNA, 534 nt
Organism: Tyto alba (common barn owl)
Lineage: Eukaryota; Metazoa; Chordata; Aves; Strigiformes; Tytonidae
Exons: 3
Source: RefSeq, a predicted model, not a curated record
GCGCUGCCGCCCCCGGCCCCAUCAGACGCCUGUCCCUCUGUCCGUCCUCCCCCACAGCAUGGCGCAGCGAAACUGCACAGCUGAACUGUCGAACAGGUGCUAUGAUGAAAUGGGGAAAACCAGGAUUUUCUACGGAUGCUUAAAUGCCAGAAAGUGCUGGCGGCCUGGGCACUGUGCUGUGACAGCGAGCUCUCUGAAGCAGAGGGGCUGAGGGCCGACACCGUGAGGCGGGAGGCCAGGCCCCCGGGGCGGAGUUGUGCCAUGGCCGGCGGGCACCGGCCUGUGCUUGCUGCUUGCCUUUCACUGUUUGUAAACAUGAGCCUCGAUCUGUGGUGUAAUCUGCAAACUUCAGGAGUGUGCCAUCUCAUAGCCUGACAUCUUCUCCAGUUUAUGUUGUAAGAGAUAAAGCUAUCAACCAGGAAAGAUCUGAGUACAGACCCCUGCGGUACUGCACUUGUUAUCAGCAUCCAGGUCCAAGUGGUUAUCCAAGAAAGCACCAGAGUUGGAGGAUCAGGUGGAAAGAUAAUGAUUUAU